Molecule: long non-coding RNA, 461 nt
Organism: Balaenoptera acutorostrata (minke whale)
Lineage: Eukaryota; Metazoa; Chordata; Mammalia; Artiodactyla; Balaenopteridae
Exons: 3
Source: RefSeq, a predicted model, not a curated record
UGAAAGUGCAAGUUACAGAAAGGGAGGUUUUGAAGUAUUUAGGCUGAUGGGGGCACACGGGUUCGAACGCCGGUCCGGGAAGAUCCCACAUGCCGCGGAGCGACUAAGCCCGUGUGCCACAACUACUGAAGCCCCCGCGCCUAGAGCCCGUGCUCCGCAACAAGAAGCCACCGAAAUGAGAAGCCCGCGCACCACAAUGAAGAGCAGCCUCCGCUCGCCGCAACUAGAGAAAGCCCAUGCGCAGCAACGAAGACCGAACACAGCCAACAAUAAAUACAUAAAAUAAUUUAUUAAAAAAAAAACAAAACACCUUUGGAUUGCAAAUCUUACGUGGACAUGAAAGGAGGAAAAGAGAAAAAUCCACUGAAAGAUCACAUACAGAACAACAUGGACUGCAGAAGAAAUCAGAAGAAAUCUAUAAAAUAGCCACAAUUUUCUGAACAUUAAAGGGAAAAAGCUAC